This 899-nucleotide ribosomal RNA is filed under the name uncultured soil bacterium. Its description in RNAcentral is "bacterial SSU rRNA". It matches the Rfam family "Bacterial small subunit ribosomal RNA", at positions 8 to 916 of the family's 1533-position model. The record is from RNAcentral.
AGAGUUUGAUCCUGGCUCAGUACNAACGCUGGCGGCGUGCUUAACACAUGCAAGUCGAACGGUGACAUCAGGGCUUGCCCUGGUUGAUCAGUGGCGAACGGGUGAGUAACACGUGAGUAACCUGCCCCAGACUCUGGGAUAACCCCGGGAAACCGGAGCUAAUACCGGAUAUGACACCAAUCCGCAUGGGUAUGGUGUGGAAAGUUUUUCGGUCUGGGAUGGACUCGCGGCCUAUCAGCUUGUUGGUGAGGUAGUGGCUCACCAAGGCGACGACGGGUAGCCGGCCUGAGAGGGCGACCGGCCACACUGGGACUGAGACACGGCCCAGACUCCUACKGGAGGCAGCAGUGGGGAAUAUUGCACAAUGGGCGAAAGCCUGAUGCAGCGACGCCGCGUGAGGGAUGACGGCCUUCGGGUUGUAAACCUCUUUCAGCAGGGAAGAAGCGAAAGUGACGGUACCUGCAGAAGAAGCACCGGCUAACUACGUGCCAGCAGCCGCGGUAAUACGUAGGGUGCGAGCGUUGUCCGGAAUUAUUGGGCGUAAAGAGCUUGUAGGCGGUUUGUCGCGUCUGCUGUGAAAAUCCGGGGCUCAACCCCGGACUUGCAGUGGGUACGGGCAGACUAGAGUGUGGUAGGGGAGACUGGAAUUCCUGGUGUAGCGGUGGAAUGCGCAGAUAUCAGGAGGAACACCGAUGGCGAAGGCAGGUCUCUGGGCCACUACUGACGCUGAGAAGCGAAAGCAUGGGGAGCGAACAGGAUUAGAUACCCUGGUAGUCCAUGCCGUAAACGUUGGGAACUAGGUGUGGGUCUCAUUCCACGAGAUCCGUGCCGCAGCUAACGCAUUAAGUUCCCCGCCUGGGGAGUACGGCCGCAAGGCUAAAACUCAAAGGAAUUGACGG